Molecule: ribosomal RNA, 1558 nt
Filed under: human metagenome
Description: bacterial LSU rRNA
Rfam family: Bacterial large subunit ribosomal RNA
Source: RNAcentral
UUAGAAGCAGCCAUUCAUUUAAAGAGUGCGUAACAGCUCACUAGUCAAGAGAUCUUGCGUGGAAAAUGUAACGGGGCUAAAACGUUAUACCGAAGAUAUGGAUUACACGCUAAGUACAAAGUUAAAGUUGUGUUACAAUCAAUUUAUGGAAAAUGAGAUUUACAUAGGUAGCGUUUAUAAACACUAUAAAGGCAAUAAGUAUGUUGUUGUAAGUAUAGCUGUUCAUACUGAGACGCUUGAAGAGCUUGUAGUUUAUCGAGCCAUUUAUGGCGACGGAGAAUUAUGGGCUAGACCUAAGAAAAUGUUUUUAGAUAAUAUUGAAAAGAACGGAAAGAUCAUUCCAAGGUUUAAAUUGAUUAAAAAACUUUGAUUUUGUUCUUAGUGUGUAGUGGUAGAGGAGCGUUCCUAUCAGCAGUGAAGUCGAAUCGGAAGGUUCGGUGGAGCGGUAGGAAGUGAGAAUGCUGGAAUGAGUAACCAUAAGAGAGGUGAGAAUCCUCUCGGCCGUAAGAGCAAGGUUUCCUGAGCCAUGGUAAUCAUCUCAGGGUUAGUCGGGCCUAAGCCGAGGCGCAGAGCGUAGGCGAUGGACAUCAGGUUAAUAUUCCUGAACCGGUUAAGUUUUGUACACUGUUCACGGGGAAGUAAUCGAAGCGGAUUCAUGGUUUAUCCGUCCAACCGAGCGGGAACGCAAAGGGAGUGAAAGUGAUUCUUCGGAGUCGCGAUUUUGGUGAAAGCCCUGGCUAGAAAAGCAGGUGUACGCGUGGACUUAGCCGCCCGUACCGCAAACCAACACAGGUGCUCGAGUCGAGUAGACUCAGGCUUACGAGCGAACCUUCGCUAAGGAACUCGGCAAUACAGCGACCGUAACUUCGGGAUAAGGUCUGCCCCCACUUCGGUGGAUAUCAGCCGCGUUCACUCAGUGAAUAUUAGGUUAAAGAGUACAUUUUUAAUCACAAAACGAAUUUUCUGAGAUAGAGCAAACGAAUUGUUCUUUUGAACGCGAACCUCUGGCAUCUAACGAUGUGGGGGCCGCAGCAAAAGAGCCCACGGAACUGUUUAUCAAAAACACAGGUCUCUGCUAACACGAAAGUGGAUGUAUAGGGGCUGACUCCUGCCCAAUGCUGGAAGGUUAAGGGGAGCGCUUCACGGUGCGAACUGAAGCCCUAGUCAAUGGCGGCGGUAACUAUAACCGUCCUAAGGUAGCGAAAUUCCUUGUCAGGUAAGUUCUGACCCGCACGAAUGGAGUAAUCAUGUGGGCACUGUCUCAGCGAAGGACUCGGUGAAAGUGCAUUGGCGGUAAAGAUGCCGUCUGUCCGUACCAGGACGAAAAGACCCCAUGGAGCUUUACUACAGCUUUACAUUGAAUAUGGUUUCAACAUGUGUAGCAUAGGUGGGAGACUUUGAAGCAGAUACGCCAGUAUUUGUGGAGUCACCAAGUGAAAUACCACCCUUGUUGUGAUUGUGUUCUCACGCUGACCGUUAUCCGGUUAGCGGACCGUGUAUGGUGGGUAGUUUAACUGGGGCGGUUGCCUCCUAAAGAGUAGCGGAGGCGUUCAAAGGU